AAUAGAUACCCAGGUAGUCCACGCCGUAAACGAUGGAUACUAGCUGUUUGAGCGCAAGUUUGAGUGGCUAAGCGAAAGUGAUAAGUAUCCCACCUGGGGAGUACGGGCGCAAGCCUGAAACUCAAAGGAAUUGACGGGGGCCCGCACAAGCGGUGGAGCAUGUGGUUUAAUUCGAUGAUACGCGAGGAACCUUACCAGGGCUUAAAUGUAGAUUGACGUAUUUGGAAACAGAUAUUUCUUCGGACAAUUUACAAGGUGCUGCAUGGUUGUCGUCAGCUCGUGCCGUGAGGUGUCAGGUUAAGUCCUAUAACGAGCGCAACCCCUGUUGUUAGUUGCCAGCGAGUAAUGUCGGGAACUCUAGCAAGACUGCCAGUGUAAACUGUGAGGAAGGUGGGGAUGACGUCAAAUCAUCGCGGCCCUUACGUCCUGGGCCACACACGUGCUACAAUGGCCGGUACAGAGAGCAGCCACUUAGCGAUAAGGAGCGAAUCUAUAAAGCCGGUCACAGUUCGGAUCGGAGUCUGA
Molecule: ribosomal RNA, 525 nt
Filed under: uncultured bacterium
Lineage: Bacteria
Description: bacterial SSU rRNA
Rfam family: Bacterial small subunit ribosomal RNA
Source: RNAcentral